Molecule: ribosomal RNA, 472 nt
Filed under: uncultured bacterium
Lineage: Bacteria
Description: bacterial SSU rRNA
Rfam family: Bacterial small subunit ribosomal RNA
Source: RNAcentral
UGAGGAAUAUUGGACAAUGGGCGCAAGCCUGAUCCAGCCAUACCGCGUGAGUGAAGAAGGCCUUCGGGUUGUAAAGCUCUUUCAGACGGAAAGAAACGGUCGCGGCCAAUACCCGCGACUAAUGACGGUACCGUAAGAAGAAGCACCGGCUAACUACGUGCCAGCAGCCGCGGUAAUACGUAGGGUGCGAGCGUUAAUCGGAAUUACUGGGCGUAAAGCGUGCGCAGGCGGUUUGGUAAGACAGAUGUGAAAUCCCCGGGCUUAACCUGGGAACUGCAUUUGUGACUGCCAGACUAGAGUGUAGCAGAGGGGGGUAGAAUUCCACGUGUAGCAGUGAAAUGCGUAGAUAUGUGGAGGAAUACCGAUGGCGAAGGCAGCCCCCUGGGCUAACACUGACGCUCAUGCACGAAAGCGUGGGGAGCAAACAGGAUUAGAUACCCACGUAGUCCCUGAGCGGGCUGGCAAGGCGCAU